CUUCCCAAAGUCUCGUCCCGUCGUCAACGGGCCCGAACCCACCCGUGAAGGAGCCAUGGAAGGAGGGAUCGCCGCCGACACCCGCCUGCCGACACCGACCCUCGGCCGGCCGUCUUCCUCCUUUCGGCUCCGGACUCAGAGCCUCAACACCCUGCGCCUCCGCCGCAUCUUCGAUCUCUUCGACCAGAACGGCGACGGGGAGAUCACCAUCGAGGAGCUCGCACUCGCCCUCGACCGCCUCGGCCUCGGCGCCGACGCCGACGCCGACGAUCUCAGAUCCACCGUCGCCGCCUACAUCCCCACCGGCCGCGCCGGCCUGGCCUUCGAGGACUUCGAUGCCCUCCACCGAGCACUCGGCGACGCGCUCUUCGGCGGCCCCGCUGCCAUGGAGGAAGAAAUGGAAGGGGAGGAGGGGACGGUGGAGGAAGACAUGAGGGAGGCAUUCCGGGUGUUCGACGAGGACGGGGACGGCUUCAUCUCGGCGGCGGAGCUCCAGGCGGUGCUCGCCAAGCUGGGGCUACCGGAGGGGCGGAGCAUCGCCCGGGUCCAAGAGAUGAUCUGCUCCGUC
This 568-nucleotide long non-coding RNA is filed under the name Musa acuminata (dwarf banana). RNAcentral's name for it is "long non-coding RNA (MACU_LNC005845)". Lineage: Eukaryota; Viridiplantae; Streptophyta; Magnoliopsida; Zingiberales; Musaceae. The record is from RNAcentral.